Molecule: ribosomal RNA, 457 nt
Filed under: uncultured bacterium
Lineage: Bacteria
Description: bacterial SSU rRNA
Rfam family: Bacterial small subunit ribosomal RNA
Source: RNAcentral
UACGGGAGGCAGCAGUGGGGAAUAUUGCACAAUGGGCGAAAGCCUGAUGCAGCUAUGCCGCGUGUAUGAAGAAGGCCUUAGGGUUGUAAAGUACUUUCAUCGGGGAGGAAAAAACAAAACUAAUAAUUUUAUUUCUUGACGCUACCCGAAAAAGAAGCACCGGCUAACUCCGUGCCAGCAGCCGCGGUAAUACGGAGGGUGCUAGCGUUAAUCAGAAUUACUGGGCGUAAAGAGCACGUAGGUGGUUUUUUAAAGUUCAGAUGUGAAAUCCCUGGGCUUAACCUAGGAACUGCAUUUUGAAACUGAAAUACUAGAGUAUCGUAGAGGGAGGUAGAAUUCUAGGUGUAGCGGUGAAAUGCGUAGAUAUCUGGAGGAAUACCUGUGGCGAAAGCGGCCUCCUAAACGAAUACUGACACUGAGGUGCGAAAGCGUGGGGAGCAAACGAGGAUUAGAUACC